Molecule: unclassified non-coding RNA, 148 nt
Organism: Papio anubis (olive baboon)
Lineage: Eukaryota; Metazoa; Chordata; Mammalia; Primates; Cercopithecidae
Rfam family: Metazoan signal recognition particle RNA
About the family: The signal recognition particle (SRP) is a universally conserved ribonucleoprotein.
Source: Ensembl
GCUGGGUGUGGUCGCUCACGCCUAUAGUCCCAGCUACUCGGGAGGCUGAGAUGGGAGGAUUGCUUGAACCCAGGAACUUGAGGCUGCAGUGAGCCCUGAUUGCACCACUGCACUUCAGCCUGGGUGACAGAGCGAGACCCUAUCUCAA